RNAcentral lists this ribosomal RNA (468 nucleotides) under uncultured bacterium. RNAcentral's name for it is "partial 16S ribosomal RNA". It matches the Rfam family "Bacterial small subunit ribosomal RNA", at positions 28 to 507 of the family's 1533-position model. The record is from RNAcentral.
GACGAACGCUGGCGGCAUGCUUAACACAUGCAAGUCGAACGGAAAGGCCCUGCUUUUGUGGGGUGCUCGAGUGGCGAACGGGUGAGUAACACGUGAGUAACCUGCCCUUGACUUUGGGAUAACUUCAGGAAACUGGGGCUAAUACCGGAUAGGAGCUCCUGCUGCAUGGUGGGGGUUGGAAAGUUUCGGCGGUUGGGGAUGGACUCGCGGCUUAUCAGCUUGUUGGUGGGGGAGUGGCUUACCAAGGCUUUGACGGGUAGCCGGCCUGUGAGGGUGAGCGGCCACGGUGGGACUGAGAUACGGCCAAGACUCCGACGGGAGGCAGCAGUAGGGAAGGGUGCACAAUGGGCGGGAGCCAAAUGCAGCAACGCCGCGUGCGGGAUGACGGCCAUCGGGUUGUAAACCGCAUUCGCCUGUGACGAGGCGUGAGUGACGGUAAUGGGUAAAGAAGCACCGGCUAACUACGUG